RNAcentral lists this ribosomal RNA (253 nucleotides) under uncultured bacterium. Its description in RNAcentral is "partial 16S ribosomal RNA". It matches the Rfam family "Bacterial small subunit ribosomal RNA", at positions 524 to 776 of the family's 1533-position model. The record is from RNAcentral.
UACGGGGGGGGUAAGCGUUGUUCGGAAUUACUGGGCGUAAAGGGCUCGUAGGUGGCCAACUAAGUCAUACGUGAAAUCCCUCAGCUUAACUGGGGAACUGCGUCUGAUACUGGAUGGCUUGAGUUUGGGAGAGGGAUGCGGAAUUCCAGGUGUAGCGGUGGAAUGCGUAGAUAUCUGGAGGAACACCGGUGGCGAAGGCGGCAUCCUGGACCAAUACUGACACUGAGGAGCGAAAGCCAGGGGAGCAAACGGG